AGAACGAACGUUGGCGGCGUGGAUUAGGCAUGCAAGUCGGGGAAUCCCAGCAAUGGGGGAACCGGCGUAAGGGGCAGUAAGGCGUGGGUACCUACCCUGGGGUUCGGGAUAGCUGUCCGAGAGGGCAGGUAAUACCGGAUGACCUGGUGACAGCAAAGAUUUAUCGCCCUGGGAGGGGCCCACGUGAUAUUAGGUCGUUGGUGAGGUAACGGCUCACCAAGCCAUAGAUGUCUAGCGGGUGUGAGAGCACGACCCGCGCCACUGGCACUGAGACACUGGCCAGACACCUACGGGUGGCUGCAGUCGAGGAUCUUCGGCAAUGGGCGCAAGCCUGACCGAGCGACGCCGCGUGGGCGAUGAAGGCCUUCGGGUUGUAAAGCCCUGUCGGGGGGAGAAAGGGUAAACUUGAUCUAUCCCGGAGGAAGCACGGGCUAAGUUCGUGCCAGCAGCCGC
RNAcentral lists this ribosomal RNA (453 nucleotides) under uncultured bacterium. RNAcentral's name for it is "SSU rRNA". It matches the Rfam family "Bacterial small subunit ribosomal RNA", at positions 26 to 518 of the family's 1533-position model. The record is from RNAcentral.